This is a long non-coding RNA of Daucus carota subsp. sativus, 383 nucleotides long. RefSeq lists it as uncharacterized. The transcript is spliced from 3 exons. Lineage: Eukaryota; Viridiplantae; Streptophyta; Magnoliopsida; Apiales; Apiaceae. The record is from RefSeq and is a predicted model, not a curated record.
GAAAAGACUUGCCCUCUCUGUGCUGAAGAGAUGGAUUUGACUGAUCAACAGUUGAAGCCGUGCAAGAACAGUUUCUUCAACGGAGAAAUCCUCAUGAAGAUAAUAAAGUCUUAGAUUUGUGUAGAAUGUCGCAAGGAAAGGUAAGGAAGAUCCAACUGUGAGUUAAAUAAAAAGAACCCUCCAGCGCCGGUGGAAACUGUUUUAAGUGACUGCUCCUCAACUGCGGUUUACCAACCUAAGCCCAAGAGCUGUCGUUACAUUCCGCAAGUGUGUCAUUGUGGAAACCUUGAAGGUGGAUAGCCUGCAGAAGCUUUGUUCAUCUUUGGAACCCAUCCUUCGUUGAGUUGUAAGACACAUCCUCCGUAGAGUUAUUAAUUAAUAUA